RNAcentral lists this transfer RNA (85 nucleotides) under Felis catus (domestic cat). It matches the Rfam family "tRNA". Rfam says of the family: Transfer RNA (tRNA) molecules are approximately 80 nucleotides in length. Their secondary structure includes four short double-helical elements and three loops (D, anti-codon, and T loops). The record is from Rfam by way of RNAcentral. Lineage: Eukaryota; Metazoa; Chordata; Mammalia; Carnivora; Felidae.
GCCUGGGUGGCUCAGUUGGUUGAGCGUCUAACUUCAGCUCAGGUCAUAAUCUCAUGGUUCAUGGGUGAGAGCCCCAUGCCGGGCU